GAUGAAGAACGCAGCGAAAUGCGAUAAGUAAUGUGAAUUGCAGAAUUCAGUGAAUCAUCGAAUCUUUGAACGCACAUUGCGCCCGCCAGUAUUCUGGCGGGCAUGCCUGUUCGAGCGUCAUUUCAACCAUCAAGCCCCCGGCUUGUGUUGGGGACCUGCGGCUGCCGCAGGCCCUGAAAAGCAGUGGCGGGCUCGCUGUCACACCGAGCGUAGUAGCAUACAUCUCGCUCUGGGCGUGCUGCGGGUUCCGGCCGUUAAACCACCUUCAUAACCCAAGGUUGACCUCGGAUCAGGUAGGAAGACCCGCUGAACUUAAGCAUAUCAAAGCGGAGGA
RNAcentral lists this unclassified non-coding RNA (334 nucleotides) under soil metagenome. RNAcentral describes it as "partial contains 5.8S ribosomal RNA, internal transcribed spacer 2, and large subunit ribosomal RNA". The stretch from base 1 to 120 matches the Rfam family "5.8S ribosomal RNA", at positions 35 to 154 of the family's 154-position model. The record is from RNAcentral.